ACACCUCAACUCCCAUGGUUCGCCAUGGUGAGCUUGGACUUUGGGGGUUUUGCUGGCCCGUGGUCAGCUCCUCUCAAAUGAAUUAGCCUGCCAGUGUUUGGUGGCGUCACAGGUGUGAUAAAUAUCUACGCUUGCGAUUGCCCACCAUGUAACCUUCAGCAAUGGGGGUUCGCUGGGGCUCAUAGACGUCUCUCCCUAAGUGAGGACAGUUUUUUAAC
Molecule: unclassified non-coding RNA, 218 nt
Filed under: uncultured Tomentella
Lineage: Eukaryota; Fungi; Basidiomycota; Agaricomycetes; Thelephorales; Thelephoraceae
Description: sequence contains ITS2
Source: RNAcentral